Molecule: ribosomal RNA, 497 nt
Filed under: uncultured bacterium
Lineage: Bacteria
Description: partial 16S ribosomal RNA
Rfam family: Bacterial small subunit ribosomal RNA
Source: RNAcentral
GAUGAACGCUGGCGGCGUGCCUAAUACAUGCAAGUCGAGCGAACAGACGAGGAGCUUGCUCCUCUUACGUUAGCGGCGGACGGGUGAGUAACACGUGGAUAACCUACCUAGAAGACUGGGAUAACUUCGGGAAACCGGAUCUAAUACCGGAUAAUAUAGUGAACUGCAUGGUUCAAUAGUGAAAGACGGUUUUGCUGUCACUUAUAGAUGUAUCCGCGCCGCAGUAGCUAGUUGGUAAGGUAACGGCUUACCAAGGCAACGAUGCGUAGCCGACCUGGGAAGGUGAACGGCCCACCUGGAACUGGAGAACGGUCCCGACCCCUAAGGGGGGAAGCAGUAGGGAAUCUUCGGAAAUGGGCGAAAGCCUGACGGAGCCAAGCCGGCUGAGUGAAAGAGGUCUUCCGAUCGUAAAACUCUGUUAUUAGGGAAGAACAAAUGUGUAAGUAACUAUGCACGUCUUGACGGUACCUAAUCAGAAAGCCACGGCUAACUUCGUG